This 249-nucleotide ribosomal RNA is filed under the name uncultured Candidatus Saccharibacteria bacterium. RNAcentral describes it as "partial 16S ribosomal RNA". It matches the Rfam family "Bacterial small subunit ribosomal RNA", at positions 76 to 339 of the family's 1533-position model. Lineage: Bacteria; Candidatus Saccharimonadota. The record is from RNAcentral.
UUUGUGUAAAAUGUCGGCGAGCGGCGGACGGCUGAGUAACGCGUAGGAAUUUGCCCCAAAGUGAGGAAUAACUGCCCGAAAGGGUAGCUAAUGCCGCAUAUGGUCUUCGGAUUAAAGCCUUCGGGCGCUUUGGGAGAAGCCUGCGUUGGAUUAGGUAGUUGGUAGGGUAAUGGCCUACCAAGCCGACGAUCCAUAGCUGGUCUGAGAGGAUGAUCAGCCAGACUGGAACUGAGACACGGUCCAGACUCC